This is a non-coding RNA of Acanthosepion pharaonis, 113 nucleotides long. NCBI's taxonomy places the organism in Eukaryota, Metazoa, Mollusca, Cephalopoda, Sepiida, Sepiidae. The record is from the annotation of a GenBank genome assembly.
UACGAACAUAUCACGUUGAAACACCGAUUCCGGUACGUACACCGAAGUUAAGCAACGUCGAUCCUGGUCAGUAUCUAGAUGUGUGACCGCUUAAGAAUAUUAGGUGCUGUAAG